UGGUUGUGACAUAGCCUCCACGACAG
Molecule: non-coding RNA, 26 nt
Filed under: Mus musculus (house mouse)
Lineage: Eukaryota; Metazoa; Chordata; Mammalia; Rodentia; Muridae
Source: RNAcentral